Molecule: ribosomal RNA, 253 nt
Filed under: uncultured bacterium
Lineage: Bacteria
Description: partial 16S ribosomal RNA
Rfam family: Bacterial small subunit ribosomal RNA
Source: RNAcentral
UACGUAGGGUGCGAGCGUUAAUCGGAAUUACUGGGCGUAAAGCGUGCGCAGGCGGUGAUGUAAGACAGAUGUGAAAUCCCCGGGCUUAACCUGGGAAUGGCAUUUGGGACUGCAAGGCUCGAGUGCGGCAGAGGAGACUGGAAUUCCUGGUGUAGCAGUGAAAUGCGUAGAUAUCAGGAGGAACACCGAUGGCGAAGGCAGGUCUCUGGGCUGACACUGACGCUCAUGCACGAAAGCGUGGGGAGCAAACAGG